This is a long non-coding RNA of Manis pentadactyla (Chinese pangolin), 10710 nucleotides long. RefSeq lists it as uncharacterized. The record is from RefSeq and is a predicted model, not a curated record. The transcript is spliced from 5 exons. NCBI's taxonomy places the organism in Eukaryota, Metazoa, Chordata, Mammalia, Pholidota, Manidae.
UACCGAAGUUUGGGAUUAGAGAAUAAUACUCUUGAACUAUCUGGAACUAAUCACAUAUCACAAAGUGGUUUGUUAUUUUGUGGCUGUUACAUUCAUGAAUAUUGAAAUGAUCACAUGGUAAUUUUUAAAUUGCAGAGAAAUUCUGUUAAUUAAGAAAUUCUAAUUAUUUGUAUAAGAUAGAAUGACAGUUUAACUUUGGGCCAAAUAUGAACAAAUGGUUUCCUCAGGAAAUAGUUAUCAAAACAAAAAUAUAUGGGGCAUUUUAAACCUGAGAAUAAACUCUUCUGAAAUAGAAAAGGAAUUAUGGGUGCUAUUGUUCCUUAUUAAGUCUUGAUUCUAAGAAUUUCUGCUUGCCAAAAUUUUGUUAAAUAUAUUCAUCCAAUUAUUAACAUUUCUUAAAAAUAAUAGCACUCUAUUUUGAAUUAUCCUAAAGUCCAGCCUUUUGUUUCAAACUGACCUUUCCCUAACUAGGUCCAAGUUGGAGGUUACUCUAGUAAAUAUGCUUUUAAUGGCUUGCUAUAUUCAUGACAGUUUCAAAGAUAGUCAUCCAUUUCAAUCCCAAAGGUAAGCUUUCCUUUACUCUUGAGUUGUUGGGCCGAUUCUAAAUACUUCUUAGAAAAUGAGAUUAUGCAUAUUUCCUCUGCAGACUAUUCUAAUAUUUACUGUCCUGUGAAUAUUAUUUAAGUGUCAUUAAGUCCACUUAACUCCCAAAUUUUCAGAGAAGAAUUCAAGCUUGCUCGCAUUUCUUUUAUCAUGGAGUAUGCAUACAGACCACUAUUUUAACAUUUUCCGUCAAAAUAAGUAGGUAGCAAUAUUUUGCACUUGUUUACACUUGAAAGAACCAGGAGCAUUUUGGAUUAUCAUCAGCAAAUGGACAUUGUUCUUUUUGGAAGCCAUUUCUCGCACCUAAAAAGUGUGUUUUGACCACAAGUUACUUAAACUAGGUUCAGAGACUCACAAAUUAUGACAGCAGCUGAAUUUUUUUUUUGAUUGAAUGUGCUAAGUGGCUUUUUAUUCUUGAUAUGUUUGAUUAUCUACUUUGAACAGCCUUAUAAUGGAACUAGUUAAAAUGUCAUUCAAUGUUCUUACAAUGGAGAAGUAACUUUUUUAUGAAGCAGACAAUAAUGUUUAAGUGAUAACUACUUCUGUUACUAAAUAUGCUUAUAAAACAUUUCCCUAAGUUUUAACUUAAUUUUGGGGGAUGGUGAGUGAAGUCUCCUUUAUUUUAAUUAUUUGUAGACCCCAGUACCAGUCAUAAUAUCUCUGUUUCUCUUACAGCAGGAAAACAUAGGCCUUGCAUGGAAAUUCUUAAGAAAUGUCAAAGAGUCACUCCUGUUGGAAAGGUGUGGAUUGUGAUGUUGUGAACAGGAUUGUGCAGGAAAAUGACAUUGUCUAGGAUGGAGGAAAAAGGCCAUGACCCAUGUCAGAUGUGAGCAGCUACAGACCUCUUCUUGGAACUGUGGCUGCCUGAUGGGUUCAACCACUAACUCUUCCAUGAGUCCAACAGAGGACUGGAGAUAUGGGAUUGAGAAGGAAAGUUCCACGUUUGCAGGGUAGAAUGAUGGAUUCAGCCUGAAUGGAGACAAUGAUCAUCGGCAACCUCCACACCUCCACCAAAUUUCCUUUUGGGGAGAGAGAGACUUCCCCCACCGUUCCCUCUGGAGGAGGCUGGGGCCUAAGUAGGAGCCACAGAGGGAGUCCUCCAGAAAAAUGAAAGAAAGACAUAUGGCUGUAGAGUGGGAUCACUGUUGUCUCAAACUCAUUGAAAUAUUUCUGCUCAUUAUUCAAUGGACUCUGUUGCUGAAGGUAUGUGGCUCAUCAAAACCCUCAAGUAGCUAUUUAGGCACCUCUCUGCCAAAGUACUAACCAAAUCAACUAAUAGGUUUAAAAAUAUGCUAAUUUGAGUUUUACCAUUUUUUUCUGUUUAAGACACACACCAGCUUAGAAAAAGAUUUUUAAGAAUCUGCAUAAUGCCCAAACUAGGAAAAUGCUCAAAAAUGAAAUGGUAAAUUGAAAGAAAGCCACAUGAGGUGCUUAAUCUCUAGCUUUCCUCUCCAGCCAAAUUAACCCCAAAUUUCCAGAAAAGAAAAAUCAAGUGUGUCGUAUGCUUCACUCUUCAAGUUCAUGAGAGCUGUAGCAGAAAGGAUUGAGGUUAGAUUGGCCAGCCAUAUAGAUCUUAUCCUUUUCCCCAACAGAGAGAUUCUUUUUAUUUUCUCUCGCAGCAGAGGUGUAAAGUGUAAAGUUUGAGUAGAGGAAUCCUCUGGCCUCUUUCUUCUGGGUCUGUGUCAGCAUCACAGCAAAGCCCCGGGCAGAAACUCACUUGAGUAGAGCCUUAAUGCUGCUCCAAGUAGCAUGGUUCCCAGGCACACAUGCAUACGGUGCAGGCCAUUCAAAACCAGCUGGGAUGUCGUCUGGUUUGCGUUUGGCUCUCUUCCCAGGCUCUCACAUGUGACUUCUUUGUUGCAGACAAUGACAGUGACAAAACAAAAGCACUCGGGGAUUUGGUCUCAGUUGCAUCUGUUGCUUUGCUCAUUGUCUUAAUUUAAUUACUCUGGCCACCCUUGACAAUGGGUGGCGAGCGGAGGCAUGUUGGAAGCAGCCAGAGCUGGCACCCACCUUCAAUGCUUCUUGAAGUGUUAUGAAACUGUCCCACAUUCAGCCAAGCAAAAACUUUUCACUUCAACAGCUUGGCCAAGACAAACAAACCAGCUGUAACUGUUUCUAGUAGGCAACUAGACAGAUUUUUGAAAGGAAAACAGUAGUGAGUAAAUACUGUUUCCUAUUGACACCAGGGAAGGUAAGAUUAUUAAAAAACAAAAACAAAAACAAAUGUUGGUCCUCUAGCCCACCGGGGAUGGUUGAAGAAAAGUGUCAGUGUGAAGGAAGGGUUAAUCAACUCAUAAGGGAAUAAGUGGGAGAAGGGCUUAAUUUGCAAUAUACAUUAUUAUACAUUGUGUAUCAUACACAGAUAUUUGGCCCUGAAGAGGUAAUUCACAUUCUCCCAUUAUCUCUUGGCUCUUAUCCUAGCUCUAGCUUUUCAAAGGAAAGCUAGCCACAAACUUUUUGAUUAAAAAGAUCUCUGAGAACUCAUAACAAUGGCAAUAAAAAUAAUCUUGAUGAACCUUUUCAGGCACUUUACAGUUUACAUAGUAAUCUCAAGUGAGGUAAUUUUAUUUGCAUCAGUGUCAUUUAUAAUCUAAGACUCACUAAGAUUUAGUGGCUUGAGGUCACAUAGACAAAUUGAUAGACCUAGAACUAACAAAAAACAAAUUAUUACUUUAAUAAAAUCACAUUCCAUCACUUGGACAUUUAUUAUGUGCUGGACACUGUAUUAUGUAUGUUAAUUGUACGUAUUUUCUUAUUUAAUUCUCCUAAUUCCCUUGGGAGUGGAUACUAAUAUCCUGCCCAAUUUACCUUUAAGGGUAAAUUCCCGAAGCUUAGGAAAGCUAAACAACUUGCCUGAUUUCUUACAGUGAAAACAUGACUGUGGUUGGGAUUUGUACCAGUUCCUUCUUAUUCUGGAGCUUAUCAAUUAGUCACUCUGCUAUAUUGCCUCCCUACUUGGUAAAACUGCAUCUUUUGCUUCAAGGUCCAAAUCUCCUUCUAAUGACAAGAAUUGAUAAUGUUAUGGGCUACCUGUGAUCCCGGAUGGUGGGAGGUGCUGGCUCAGAAGAUAAGGCAAGACUCUAAAGUGGGCAGGUGGGUGCCUUCCCUUACAGAAGUCUGAGCUGGGCCCCUUUUGUGUGGUUAUUGAUAGAGAUCUAGUAGCACAGUAUUCAGUUAGCAGAAGUUAACCCUGCGGAUAUUAUAAAUCCUUCUUUUCUCCCUAUCUUUAUGAGAUUUUGCCUGAGAGACACAAUCUAAAAGAAAGAUGAUAAUAGGCUCUUUAAAUUUCAGAGAGGAAGCAGUGAUGUUUUCAAUAGACUAUGUUUCCAUCCCCACCCACUCCAAACAAGUUAAGUAUUGUAUGACAUAAAGUCUAAGAAAAGCCUGGCACCCUAUAAAAAAUACUGGGAAAAUACUGUCCAGCAUGGAAUUAGCAGCCUAUUAUAUAACAUGAAGUCCUAACUCAGCACUGACCUUCUCUUAAAAAGGGCAGAAUGGGGGGAAGGAAAGAGGAGCAGAUGAUGGGAGAGAUGGCCCAGAGAUCAGCUCUUUACCUGUUGAGAAGGAUGUCAUCUAGCUGUCUUACUGUUUUGGCCUGGAGAAGUGUGAAAUUGUGGAGGGUGAUUUAGAUGUCUCAGUAACAACUUUGAUACAGGGAAUCACAAGUUCAAAUUCCAGGAGUGUUAGGUCAGCCUUUCCUCUCUGGGACUCAAGCACAGUAAGUGUCAUGCAAUCUACCCAGAGCUUUGGGAUGUGACUUUUAAAACCAAAGGAUAAGGUGCACAUUUUGAGAGACUUGGGCUCCUGGUGGAGUAAGGCUGCCUUUUUAACAAAGUGAGACGUAUAUAGACUAAACACAGUGUUGGUCUGCCCAGCCUCUUAUUUUUUUCUGGAAACUACCUCAUGCUACCUUUUCUGUGGUUAUGGUGAAAAUGGCCUUUUUUCAAUAUGACCCUCUUCUCUGGCCAUAGUGAAUUGUCGCAGAGCAGGCCCCUCCCCCAACCCAAGACCAAGUGUGAUAGAGAUAACAAGGCAGACCUAUCCCUGGGAGACACAAGAGUCCUUUAUUGGAGACUUUGGCUCAAUAAACUUUUCCUCAGUGGCUUUGCUGAACUUUCCUUGGACCGUGCAGUAGUCCAGGAUGCCUCCACCCAACCUUUUCUCCCCAUCUCCUGUACCCAGGGUCAGACUUGCAUUGUGUUACGAUGGCUUGCCCAGACUUCCUGCAUCCUCUCCUAUUUCCCUUUCACGAGGCAUUUUCCCUAAUAAAAUCCUUCCUCAUUUAACUCAGUCUCAGCUCUGUUUCCCCGAUGACCUGGGCUUGCCCACCUGGCUGGGAUCCCAGCUUCCCACACAGGAACUGUGUGACCUUUGACAAUUACUAUGCUGUUCUCUCCAUCUCAGUUUCCACUUCUGUAAGAUGAAAGGGUAGGCUAGGAGCACCCACCUCACAAGUGUUACAAUUGCAUGUCAUCACCCUUUCAUGUUUACCUGGCAUAGCUGUGGGCAAGAAAGUCUACUUUUUCAUGGGGCCUUGGUUGAGGGUCAUUUUGUGAACUCAUUUAGUCACAUUAGUCUAUUUGGGCUUCUGUGCUGUAUGAGUCCACGUUGGGUCUGCCUUUGUUAGAACAUUGAUGUGCCGUAGAGUAAAUUAUGUACCUGUUCACUUCCACACUAAAAACUAAGCUCCUUGAGGGCAGGUAGCAUGGUUCGUUCAUCACUGUAUCCUCCCCAGACACAUGGUGCUUUGAGUCAGGUAGCAAACGGAAUUGUUAAACUUGAUUUAAACUUUCUAAAGGAGUGGUGGAAAAGGGGUGGUAGAGUUUGGCUCAGUAGCAAGCCUUGCAUUGCUGCCUGCUGUGCUGUAUACAAGGACAAAUAGCACAAAGUCCCCUCUGUCUCAGGACUUAAAAUUGCCAGGUUGUGGUAUAAUAAAUACUAGCAAAGAAAUGCAGAAACGAGAGCACAGUUCAUGGUUAACAUACUGGGGUCCAUUUUGAGUUUGGAUUCUGGUCUGGCCACUUCUUAGAACAAGACCUUGGCAAGACAUUUAGUUUUACUCAAUCCAAGUUUUCUCAUCUACACAAUGGGAGUAAUUAUAGUAUUUAAAGGCUAGGCUAAUGGUGAAGAUUAAAUGAGGUGAUUAACUCUAGCGUUUAUACAGAGUAUGUAUCUAAUAAAUAACAGCUAUUAUUAUUGCUUAAUUAUUUAUCUUUUUGUAGUUACUGUUAUCAAAACACAUCCCAUCCUUGGGUGCUGCCUUUUCUCUAGCUUGAGAAAGACUAACUUCCGGCUGGGUGCCCAGAGCUCCCCUGAGGGCUGGGACAGCACACGUGUAGCUCUUUCUUCUAGUGACUUACACACCCCUAGGAUUUAGGGAACUUGAAUUUGUCGCAUAUUUAUUCACAGAUUAUCCUGAUUUUGCAACUUUCUUACUCUGCAAAGGAUACAAUGCAUCUGGACUCUUUUUCAAAUAUUUCUGUCUGUGAUGUAAGAAAUCACUACCAAAGUGGUUUAAAAGUCUGGAAAAAAAGAAAAAGGAAAGGAAAAAAAAAUGCUGAAGGGUGUUUUCCCUUGCUGGCAAGAGGUAUUUAUUCUACCUUUAACAGUCUUUAAGGAUGUAGUAAAAUAUUUCAGCGUUCAGGGUUGCUUAGACUGUUGAUUUUAUGGCAGUUUGUUUAGUUAGCUGUUUGUGUUUGUGUUACAUUUUUAAAUACAAAAAAAAAGUCUAAGCACACUAUCAAUCCCAGAAGGAGUUGAUUUUGGAAUUGCUGAAAGGUUCAAAUGUUGUGGUAUUUAAAAUAGUGAAACACCAAAUUCUAGCAAUUUCACUGAUAAGUGCUAAAGAUUCAGCACAUUUUUACCUAAAAACUGUAUUUGAUAAUUUUUUUUUUCUCUUAAGCCUCCAAAAUGCCAUUGUUCUAUCUGAUGUACAACUUAUGCUGGAAUACUUCAACUAGUGAAUGCAGUAAUUUAUAUUACAGUGUUUUUGGGAGUGUGGGCCCAGGGUUUUCACCUUUUAGUGUCAUUUUAAAGCAGUAGUGAUGAGUUUACAGAAUUACUCGGAAAGGGUGUUGUUCUCUUGCACUCCUUCUUUGUGUGUGUGGCAAAUCUGGGCAGAACAUUCAAAUGCUGUGUUCUAAAUUUUCCUCCUUACUGAAUUGAGAGAAAUUUUGGAAGUUUGGAAGGCUCUUCUGAACUUUUAGGAUGAACAAAAUAACACUAUGACAAGUUAAAGUUUUUUGCAUCUGUUUGAGGUUGAUGGGAGCCUUCAGCAUUUGAAAGUAAACACGCCUGCUGCCAGCCAGUGCUUUUCCAAGAUAGAACGUGGUGCAAGAACAAUGCAGACAUGUCUAUAGUUUUAAAAAAUCAGACUCAUUGCAUUAUGCUGAAAGUACUUCUAUGUUCAUUCUAGUGUUCUUUUGAAGAAGGAAACAAAUGUCAUUUGCAGAGAGACAAACCAGAGCAUCCAAUGGUGACCUAAGUCAACCAAUACCGACAAAGUAAUAAUAAUAAAGCUGUGUAUUCAUUGAUUCAUUUAUAUAUCUCAUGUUUCCUAGUCCUGCAAAGCCUCGUGAACUAUCCAAGCAUGUCACAUGCAUACCAUGACAUGAAUAUCAGAUGUUCCCAAGUCUACAACUAACUGAUGAGGAAUCUGUACCUAACCCUCAACCUGCCAUGGUCUUGCUCCUGAUCAUUUGGAAUUUUUGUCUUGCCAUAAUUGUUAUCUGUAUCUGUGAAAAUGGCACAUCAUAUUUUAACAGAGGGCAGGCUGCUUGGUCUUUGAUUAUGCGACCUCUUAAUGUUGGCCAGACCAAAAGCCCCAUGUGAACAUUCAUAUGUUUUACACAGAGUUUUGUAAGAACGUUUGGCAUAUGAAUGACACCUGGGCUAUUUGGCCAGUUUGGGCUUGAGGUAAAAUAUCUUGGUCUUUCAUUGGGAACUUCGGAAUGAUUUUACCACAUAAGAGUUGUCACCAUGCCCAGCCUUUCUUAUGUGUCUUGCUCUUUACAUUCCCACCUUCCUAUAAAAAUUCUGACCCUGCCAGUUAAAGGAGCCAAAGAGGAUAGUAUAAACCAUUGCUUCCUCCUUUCCCGAGCGGCAGUGACUUAUACCUGCUCAAAUAAAUAUAUGUUUCUUUUUUUGAUGCAGUGGGAGCAAAAGCUUAUGCCAGAGUGAAUAGAGGAAGUUAGAGAUUCAUUGUUAUGGAAGAGAACAGUAGUGGAAAAGGCACUUGGUUUUUUUUGCCAGUGAUCCGCAUCUCUAACAGAAGUAGGGGCAGGACAUGCUGGAAGGACGGCUGUCUAGAUGCACUGACCACUGCUUGUGCUGGGUCAGGAAUUAGACCUGAAAGUUUCUGAAGUUGCAGAUUGGUUCUAUGUGAUAGUUACUGGUUUCUGACCUGGAGAGCCACUCUCUAUAGAUAAGAUUGGAAGUGGCUAAAGUCCCUGGAUUCUUAGAAGAUACAAUAGAAAACAAAACAAAACAACAAAACUUCUUUCUGCUCCUUCAAUAACGUCCCCUUUAUUUCCUGAAUAAUUCAUUCAGGACUGGAACCAGACCUUCGGGAAGACAAAGGAAUGCAGUUUCUCCUGAAUGAUGAUUAGUUUUUACACAAGAAUUUACCUUCAAUGAAAGAAAAGCCAGGAAACUGUAUUUACCUAUAAAUUUGGAAAAUGAUUCACCCCAAUUCCCUAGGGGGUUACAAUGAUGCUAGAACACAAAACUAUACAAACACAUGCACACAUACACACAUGUGCACACUCAUACACACACAAAGUAAAGAAGAGAAAGUAAUGCCCUUUUUCCAAAAAAUAUUUGCUGUAAUUAAUUGCAGAUUGCAAAUUAUUUCCAACAAUACUUGGAAUUAAAAUUAGUUGGAUACACCUUUAGCAUUCUGUUCUAUCAAAUCUUCACUUUUUCAAAAGGGUUAGUUUAGUUUCCUGACCAAUGGAACCAUUAUAGUUAAUAAAGAUGGGAAUUUUCCAAAAUGUUUUCUAGCUCUUGUUACUUAUCUAGCAAUAGCCCAUUACAGCUGUAAUUGUGUUCCUUGUAUGGUGAGAACUUUCUUAACUGUUCUCCAGAAGGACCAGACAUGGACUCAUAGACCUGUUGCCCCAUAUCUCUUCUAAUUACCCUGCUCUUAAUUUCCAUUUCUCUCUGCUUGAGUGUAACAUAAGUCUGUAUUUCUAAAUCAUAUCUAAAGGUUGCUGGAUAAAAGUAAGGUAGGAAAAAAGGCUUUAAAAGAGUCCCAUUAAAGAUGAACCCCAAAUAUGUGGGCAUCAGGAAAAGGUGCUCAGAUUUCAGCUAGGCUUUUGAGGAUGGAGAAGCUGAUAUUGACCUUGCAAAUCUGGAAGUUUAAUGGCCACUGAAGAACUUUGAUUACCUCAUCUGCUCCUUCCUUAGUGGACUUGUCUAGCUUAGGUCAAUAAAUACCAUCACUGAUUUUCAAAGGGAAUCAGUAGUUGGGCUUUUGAUCACUGAGAUGAGUUUACAGCCUGAGGAAUUCUACAGUGGAUAAUCCAAACCUCAUAAAAGAACCUUCUGCUUCAUCUAAAAUGAUUUAUCUUUUCCUUGCUACCAAAGGCUUUCACUUAAACUCAGACUAUCAACCUUGCCCUUGGAUUAAAAUUAGCUCCCUAUUAUCUAGUAAAUAUUGCCAAAAGCUCUAGUCCCUUCAGAUACACAAGCAAAAAGAAUAAACCUCAUCUUCCCCCAUGGAUGCUAACAUGCUAACAGACUUGAGAAACUGCAAAAUGUAUUACUUAAGAGAACAUUGUUUCCUGUUGGUGCUUGAUGGGAGGGAGGUGGUCAGGCAUGGAGAGGAGCCAUGGAAAGGGGCUCUUUAGGAGCGAUUUUUUCCCCUCCUUUUCCACCAUUGCAUCCUAACAGAACACACAUUAGAAGCUGUAUGAGGUUUUGUUUGUUUUCAAGAGAUAUUUGAAAGAAGAUCAAAUGCUUGUGAAAGGCACUGUAUUGGCCUCCCUAGAAACUGAAAUGUCCCGGAAGCCGUGUGAGCCCGGAAACAUCCCACAUUUCUAUUUGUUUUGGCAAUUUUACUUAAAACUAGUAAGAGCUGGAAUUCAUGCUACAAUUAAAUUUUCCUCAGGCACCAUGAAAUGAAAACACGUAUUACAUUUGAUUUUAACUGGUUGAGAAAAAUGGUGGUUUUCAGAAAGUUCAUUCUAUGACCUUGAAAUAGAAGUUAACAAUUCCUCAUCUGGGAGAGCAGAGCUUCCAUUUAAGUUGGAAUUAUUCAUAGAAUUGGGGUUCUCUGGGUUGAAAGGGGUCUCAGGUCAUUGAGUUCUCUUCUCCUAUCAUGUGUUUGAAACUCUACGAGCACAUUGCCAAAAAGUGUUGGCACACUUGGACUUGAAGUCUUUAGCAAUAGGAGACUUGCUUCCACUUGAGAUCUAUUUUUUUUAGAUGGCUCUAAUUUUUAGAAGGAGAUAAAAUAAUGUUAACUUGAACUAUCAUAGUGAUUAUGGUGUGCCAGACACUAUUAUUAAGCACUAUAAUAUAUAUUUGUGCAUACACAUGCUCACGUAGACAUUUAUAUGUAUUAUCUCAAUAAAUCCUCACAACUGUAUGAGGUAGAUUCAAUUAUUAUCCCUGUUUGACAGAUAAGGAAGCUGAGGCAAGAUGUAAAUUACAUGGUUUUCCCAAGGCCACACAGCCAAUAAGUGAGAGCCAGGAUCUGAACCCAGGCAGGGUGAGUGACUUUAGAAUCUGUACGCUUAGCCACUACAUUUUAUUGCCUCUCCAAUCUUUAUAACACUCCUUUAUGCUAAUACAGAGGUUUGCACAUUGCAGGUACUAAAUAUUUUUCAGUAAUUUUAUUUCAGGGUCAUGAUUCCUUACAUAUUUCCAUUAGUUUGUACACAACUGUCAGUUUGCCCUGAGGGAAACAGAUGAAACACUAUAAUUUUGAAUGAUCAUUAAUACUCUGCCUACUUCAACAAAGCAUUAAGGGGACUAAUAUGUAUGUAACAUUCACUAUAGAGUUCUCAGUCAGUUGCUACCUUUAGAAGUAUGCUUGUGAAAUGAUUUCACUUGAGGCUGGAGAAGAAAAUUUCAAACAUGCAAGAUUCACAUAAGCAUGAU